This 589-nucleotide ribosomal RNA is filed under the name uncultured bacterium. RNAcentral describes it as "bacterial SSU rRNA". It matches the Rfam family "Bacterial small subunit ribosomal RNA", at positions 338 to 916 of the family's 1533-position model. The record is from RNAcentral.
CCUACGGCAGGCAGCAGUGGGGAAUUUUGGACAAUGGGCGCAAGCCUGAUCCAGCCAUUCCGCGUGAGUGAAGAAGGCCUUCGGGUUGUAAAGCUCUUUCGCAAGAGAAGAAAACUUACUUUCCAAUAAAGAGUGAGGUUGACGGUAUCUUGAUAAGAAGCACCGGCUAACUACGUGCCAGCAGCCGCGGUAAUACGUAGGGUGCGAGCGUUAAUCGGAAUUACUGGGCGUAAAGCGUGCGCAGGCUGUUUUGUAAGUCAGAUGUGAAAUCCCCGAGCUCAACUUGGGAACUGCGUUUGAAACUACAAGACUAGAAUAUGUCAGAGGGGGGUAGAAUUCCACGUGUAGCAGUGAAAUGCGUAGAGAUGUGGAGGAAUACCAAUGGCGAAGGCAGCCCCCUGGGAUAAUAUUGACGCUCAUGCACGAAAGCGUGGGGAGCAAACAGGAUUAGAUACCCUGGUAGUCCACGCCAUAAACGAUGUCUACUAGUUGUUGGUGGAGUAAAAUCCAUGAGUAACGCAGCUAACGCGUGAAGUAGACCGCCUGGGGAGUACGGUCGCGAAGNUUAAAACGUCAAAGGAAUUGACGG